Molecule: ribosomal RNA, 494 nt
Filed under: uncultured bacterium
Lineage: Bacteria
Description: bacterial SSU rRNA
Rfam family: Bacterial small subunit ribosomal RNA
Source: RNAcentral
GAUGAACGCUAGCUACAGGCUUAACACAUGCAAGUCGAGGGGCAGCGGGAUUGAAGCUUGCUUCAAUUGCCGGCGACCGGCGCACGGGUGAGUAACGCGUAUCCAACCUUCCGUACACUCAGGGAUAGCCUUUCGAAAGAAAGAUUAAUACCUGAUGGUAUGAUGAGAUCGCAUGGUAUCAUCAUUAAAGAUUUAUCGGUGUACGAUGGGGAUGCGUUCCAUUAGGUAGUAGGCGGGGUAACGGCCCACCUAGCCUACGAUGGAUAGGGGUUCUGAGAGGAAGGUCCCCCACAUUGGAACUGAGACACGGUCCAAACUCCUACGGGAGGCAGCAGUGAGGAAUAUUGGUCAAUGGACGAGAGUCUGAACCAGCCAAGUAGCGUGCAGGAUGACGGCCCUAUGGGUUGUAAACUGCUUUUAUAAGGGUAAUAAAGUAGAGUCUCGUGAGACUUUUUGCAUGUACCUUAUGAAUAAGACGCUAAUUCCGUGCCAGC